AGUGAACGCUGGCGGUAGGCCUAACACAUGCAAGUCGAACGGCAGCACAGAGGAGCUUGCUCCUUGGGUGGCGAGUGGCGAACGGGUGAGGAAUACAUCGGAAUCUACUCUGUCGUGGGGGAUAACGUAGGGAAACUUACGCUAAUACCGCAUACGACCUACGGGUGAAAGCAGGGGACCUUCGGGCCUUGCGCGAUUGAAUGAGCCGAUGUCGGAUUAGCUAGUUGGCGGGGUAAAGGCCCACCAAGGCGACGAUCCGUAGCUGGUCUGAGAGGAUGAUCAGCCACACUGGAACUGAGACACGGUCCAGAUUCCUACGGGAGGCAGCAGUGGGGAAUAUUGGACAAUGGGCGCAAGCCUGAUCCAGCCAUACCGCGUGGGUGAGGAAGGCCUUCGGGUUGUAAAGCCCUUUUGUUGGGAAAGAAAUCCAGCUGGCUAAUACCCGGUUGGGAUGACGGUACCCAAAGAAUAAGCACCGGCUAACUUCGUGCCAGCCGCCGCGGUAA
Molecule: ribosomal RNA, 506 nt
Filed under: uncultured bacterium
Lineage: Bacteria
Description: partial 16S ribosomal RNA
Rfam family: Bacterial small subunit ribosomal RNA
Source: RNAcentral